UACGUAGGGGGCAAGCGUUAUCCGGAUUUACUGGGUGUAAAGGGAGCGCAGACGGUAUGGCAAGUCUGAUGUGAAAUGCGGGGGCUCAACUCCCGAGCUGCAUUGGAAACUGUCGAACUAGAGUGCCGGAGGGGUAAGCGGAAUUCCUAGUGUAGCGGUGAAAUGCGUAGAUAUUAGGAGGAACACCAGUGGCGAAGGCGGCUUACUGGACGGUAACUGACGUUGAGGCUCGAAAGCGUGGGGAG
Molecule: ribosomal RNA, 245 nt
Filed under: uncultured Blautia sp.
Lineage: Bacteria; Bacillati; Bacillota; Clostridia; Lachnospirales; Lachnospiraceae
Description: partial 16S ribosomal RNA
Rfam family: Bacterial small subunit ribosomal RNA
Source: RNAcentral